Molecule: ribosomal RNA, 492 nt
Filed under: uncultured bacterium
Lineage: Bacteria
Description: partial 16S ribosomal RNA
Rfam family: Bacterial small subunit ribosomal RNA
Source: RNAcentral
AGUGAACGCUGGCGGUAGGCCUAACACAUGCAAGUCGAACGGCAGCACAGUAAGAGCUUGCUCUUACGGGUGGCGAGUGGCGGACGGGUGAGGAAUACAUCGGAAUCUACUUUUUCGUGGGGGAUAACGUAGGGAAACUUACGCUAAUACCGCAUACGACCUACGGGUGAAAGCAGGGGAUCUUCGGACCUUGCGCGAUUGAAUGAGCCGAUGUCGGAUUAGCUAGUUGGCGGGGUAAAGGCCCACCAAGGCGACGAUCCGUAGCUGGUCUGAGAGGAUGAUCAGCCACACUGGAACUGAGACACGGUCCAGACUCCUACGGGAGGCAGCAGUGGGGAAUAUUGGACAAUGGGCGCAAGCCUGAUCCAGCCAUACCGCGUGGGUGAAGGAGGCCUUCGGGUUGUAAAGCCCUUUUGUUGGGAAAGAAAAGCAGCAGGUUAAUACCCCGCUGUUCUGACGGUACCCAAAGAAUAAGCGCCGGCUAACUUCGUG